Molecule: long non-coding RNA, 1493 nt
Filed under: Homo sapiens (human)
Lineage: Eukaryota; Metazoa; Chordata; Mammalia; Primates; Hominidae
Description: HSALNT0285883
Source: RNAcentral
CUACUCGGGAGGCUGAGGCAGGAGAAUCACUUGAACCCGGGAGGCAGAGGUUGCGGUGAGCCAAGAGCGCACCAUUGCACUCCAGCCUGGGCGACAAAAACGAAACUCCAUCUCAAAACAAAACAAAACAAAACAAACAAACAAACAAAACUUGCAUCUAACCAAAAAGUCUUGGUUUUAUCUUAAUCCAUUAAAAAGUUGUUCUUUGUUUCCAGCUUGCAUUGAUUGCUACAACAUCACUAAUUUGGCUUUCACAUUUAAAUGGUUCUGUGCUAAUCAAAACUUUCGUUGUUAUUAUUCAUUAUGGUAGAAUCAUUUUUAAUUCACGUGCUUUGUGUUCAGUUUUGUGGUCUGAGAGAUGUACCAAUUGUCAAAUUACCGUGUACCACCUAAUGUUUAUAGGAGAAAGCAAAAUACAUCAGCUUGGUAGUUAACACAUCAAAUAUUUCUUGCUGCUUCUAGGAGAACUUUUUUGGUGUGUGUUGGAAUGGCUGAGCAAAUAUUAAAAUUGUUAAUAUGCAGCCAUAUAUGGAAGGUUCCUGUGGGGUUGUUUUUUCGUGUUUUUUUUUUUUUUGUGGUGGGAUUAUGUGCCUCCCAUUCACUAGAAAAUGAGAAAAUUGUCUGGGUUCCAAAAUAUUGACAUUGAAUGGAUCAAUACACACACACAGACAUAUAUAUAUAUAUGCACACAUAUAUAGGCAGUUGCAUGCUAGCAUGGGUAUUUUUAUAACAAUAUAACUGAGUUAUAUUGGAAUUAUAAAUAUUUUCCGUCACUUAAAUUUGUUCUUUGUUUAGCCUGAAAACCUUUAUGGCUCAAGAUCAGAUUCCUGACUAACCCCUCUCUUAGAGCUACAGCGAGCUGCAUUACCAGCUUAAAACACUUCUUAGGGAUUAAAUAUAGAUGUAAUUUUUCAAAAUCGUUUUUAAUUUAAACUGUGUUUUAGUGUAAAAUUGUUAACCUUGUAAGAUGGAUAAUGUGUAUAAGAAUGUAGGCCUUAACUAUUUCACAUGAGUCAAAACAAAGCAGCUUUAAAAAAAUAAUUGGAAGCACAAGUGCAUGGCACUGACUGAAUGCUGUUAAUAUUUCUAAAAGUUUCUACAUUCAGAUUAUAUGCCUGAUUCAUAGUAAAAUACCUCUAAUAAACACUGUUUUAUAGAAAACCUGACUUCAGUGAAUAUUUUUGUAUUUUACAUGGGCCAGUUUAUAUACUGCUAUUUACACUAUUAUUUCCUAUAGCUACAUGUUCUUUGUACCUUUUGUAGUUUUAUUUGUAUUACUAGAUUCAUACCUUGAUGGUAACGCUCUAUCUGGUUUUGGGUGUUUUUCAUGUUUUAGCAUUUGUAUAAAGAAACUGGUCCAUGUAAAUACUUUCCAUGUUUUUUCUUCAAAUGUUUAAACCACUAGUUGAUGUAUGGUAUCUUUAGAUAUUUGCCUGUCUGUUUGCUCAAAAUUGCUUCUAAAACAAUAAAGAUUCUUUUAUUUCUUAAGGCAA